Molecule: non-coding RNA, 76 nt
Organism: Podarcis lilfordi (Lilford's wall lizard)
Lineage: Eukaryota; Metazoa; Chordata; Lepidosauria; Squamata; Lacertidae
Source: the annotation of a GenBank genome assembly
GAGAAUGGCUUUAGCUCUGUGGUAGAGCAUCUGCUUUGAAUACAGAAGGUUCCAGGUUCAAUCCUCAGCAUCUUCA